AAGACCUUACUUCACAGGAUCAUUUCUGUAGUUAGGUUGCAGAAUAUCGUUACAUAUCCCACACGCCCUGUAAACCGUCGAUGAUGAGCGGAACUUACUCUUCUGAGCAGGAAGCCGGCACCGUUAAUUUGUCUUCAGUUGUAUGAUUGAAGACUAUUAAUAGUGUCAUUGAAGACUGCAUCAGGUAACUGAGGGAGAGUAAGCGUUCUGAGCGGU
Trichinella britovi is the source of this 216-nucleotide small nucleolar RNA. It matches the Rfam family "Small nucleolar RNA U3". From Rfam's summary of the family: Small nucleolar RNAs (snoRNAs) are involved in the processing and modification of rRNA in the nucleolus. Lineage: Eukaryota; Metazoa; Nematoda; Enoplea; Trichinellida; Trichinellidae. The record is from Rfam.